CUUCUUAUGGAGGCAGCCAGUACGGUGGACAGGGUUCACCAUCCUCAGGAGGCAGCCAAUAUGGUGGACAGGGUCCAUAUUUCCCAGGUGGCAGCCAUUAUGGAGGACAGGGCUUUUCUUCAGGAGUCAGACAGUCUGGUGGACAGGGUGGGUGUGUGUGCCCCGGUGGAG
Molecule: long non-coding RNA, 171 nt
Organism: Myiozetetes cayanensis
Lineage: Eukaryota; Metazoa; Chordata; Aves; Passeriformes; Tyrannidae
Exons: 5
Source: RefSeq, a predicted model, not a curated record